Non-coding RNA from Jatropha curcas, 581 nucleotides. NCBI's taxonomy places the organism in Eukaryota, Viridiplantae, Streptophyta, Magnoliopsida, Malpighiales, Euphorbiaceae. The record is from RefSeq and is a predicted model, not a curated record.
AUGAAAUGGUUGGUAAGGGGUUCUCUGCAAAUGCCAGCAGCACGGAAUUGGUAGUAAAUUUAAUUUCGAGCGAGAAAGAUUCCGCUUUUACAAAAGUUGCUAAGCGGCUCUAAACGUUCUCAAGGUAUACAUUCAAGUUAUGGAUUUUCCAUAAGAAGAUCCUUCGGUCCUGAAACCUGCUUGAUCUUUUGUUCCUGGCAAUGGACGUUUCCUUUGCCUAUAAUUUGGAGAAAACUCACUAAGUAGCUUGUGUUCUGUUUAAACUGUGUUGUUCAUUAAACAGACAAGCGGUAAAUGCAUUGUUUCAAUUUCCAAUUAACUUCCAUCUCAGCAGGACAGAAAAAGUUCAAAUUCUGCAGAUGCGAUCUACUCCUUUCGAAGCAAACAGGAAAAGUGAGAGAUGGAAAUCCUAGUACAAAAAAUUAAUCUCCUGCACAUUACACGAAGGUGAGGAUCCUUCUUUCAGCUGUUGAUAUUCAAAUUUCAAGCUUAUCAAAUAAUUUUCAGAGGUCCUUUUCUGCAACAAAAAAAACCAAAAUCAGGCAAUAUAUGAAAAGUGAGAUAAUUGUCUUGUGAUGCCA